This 253-nucleotide ribosomal RNA is filed under the name uncultured bacterium. RNAcentral describes it as "partial 16S ribosomal RNA". It matches the Rfam family "Bacterial small subunit ribosomal RNA", at positions 524 to 776 of the family's 1533-position model. The record is from RNAcentral.
UACGGAGGGUGCAAGCGUUAAUCGGAAUUACUGGGCGUAAAGCGCACGCAGGUGGCUGAGCAAGUCGAUUGUGAAAGCCCUGGGCUUAACCUGGGAAUUGCAGUCGAAACUACUCGGCUAGAGUAUGGGAGAGGACAGUGGAAUUCCCGGUGUAGCGGUGAAAUGCGUAGAUAUCGGGAGGAACAUCAGUGGCGAAGGCGGCUGUCUGGGCCGAUACUGACGCUGAGGAGCGAAAGCGUGGGGAGCGAACAGG